Molecule: small nuclear RNA, 191 nt
Organism: Bombina bombina (fire-bellied toad)
Lineage: Eukaryota; Metazoa; Chordata; Amphibia; Anura; Bombinatoridae
Product: U2 spliceosomal RNA
Exons: 1
Source: RefSeq, a predicted model, not a curated record
AUCGCUUCUCGGCCUUUUGGCUAAGAUCAAGUGUAGUAUCUGUUCUUAUCAGUUUAAUAUCUGAUACGUCCCCUAUCUGGGGACCAUAUAUUAAAUGGAUUUUUGAAACAGGGAGAUGGAAGAAGAGCUUGCUCUGUCCACUCCACGCAUUGACCUGGUAUUGCAGUACCUCCAGGACCGGUGCAAAAAAA